RNAcentral lists this ribosomal RNA (433 nucleotides) under bacterium T11. RNAcentral's name for it is "bacterial SSU rRNA". It matches the Rfam family "Bacterial small subunit ribosomal RNA", at positions 959 to 1392 of the family's 1533-position model. The record is from RNAcentral.
ACGCGAAGAACCUUACCAAGGCUUGACAUACACCGGAAACGGCCAGAGAUGGUUGCCCCCUUGUGGUCGGUGUACAGGUGGUGCAUGGUUGUCGUCAGCUCGUGUCGUGAGAUGUUGGGUUAAGUCCCGCAACGAGCGCAACCCUCGUUCUAUGUUGCCAGCGCGUUAUGGCGGGGACUCAUAGGAGACUGCCGGGGUCAACUCGGAGGAAGGUGGGGAUGACGUCAAAUCAUCAUGCCCCUUAUGUCUUGGGCUUCACGCAUGCUACAAUGGCCGGUACAAAGGGCUGCGAUACCGUAAGGUGGAGCGAAUCCCAAAAAGCCGGUCUCAGUUCGGAUUGAGGUCUGCAACUCGACCUCAUGAAGUCGGAGUCGCUAGUAAUCGCAGAUCAGCAACGCUGCGGUGAAUACGUUCCCGGGCCUUGUACACACCG